AUACGUAGGGAGCGAGCGUUGUCCGGAAUUACUGGGCGUAAAGGGUGCGUAGGCGGGACUGCAAGUCAGAUGUGAAAUGCCGGGGCUCCACCCCGGAGCUGCAUUUGAAACUGUGGUUCUUGAGUGAGGUAGAGGUAAGCGGAAUUCCUAGUGUAGCGGUGAAAUGCGUAGAUAUUAGGAGGAACAUCGGUGGCGAAGGCGGCUUACUGGGCCUUUACUGACGCUGAGGCACGAAAGCGUGGGGAGCAAACAGGAUUAGAUACCCUGGUAGUCCACGCUGUAAACGAUGAUGACUAGGUGUGGGGGGACUGAACCCUUCCGUGCCACAGUUAACACAAUAAGUCAUCCACCUGGGGAGUACGGCCGCAAGGUUGAAACUCAAAUGAAUUGACGGGG
Molecule: ribosomal RNA, 396 nt
Filed under: uncultured bacterium
Lineage: Bacteria
Description: partial 16S ribosomal RNA
Rfam family: Bacterial small subunit ribosomal RNA
Source: RNAcentral